Molecule: ribosomal RNA, 227 nt
Filed under: uncultured bacterium
Lineage: Bacteria
Description: partial 16S ribosomal RNA
Rfam family: Bacterial small subunit ribosomal RNA
Source: RNAcentral
UGAGUAACACGUAUCCAACCUGCCGUCUACUCUUGGACAGCCUUCUGAAAGGAAGAUUAAUACAAGAUGGCAUCAUGAGUCCGCAUGUUCACAUGAUUAAAGGUAUUCCGGUAGACGAUGGGGAUGCGUUCCAUUAGAUAGUAGGCGGGGUAACGGCCCUCCUAGUCUUCGAUGGAUAGGGGUUCUGAGAGGAAGGUCCCCCACAUUGGAACUGAGACACGGUCCAA